This 227-nucleotide long non-coding RNA is filed under the name Physcomitrium patens. Its description in RNAcentral is "long non-coding RNA (PPAT_LNC009325)". Lineage: Eukaryota; Viridiplantae; Streptophyta; Bryopsida; Funariales; Funariaceae. The record is from RNAcentral.
ACAUAGGAGCAAACAAAAAAUCUUAAAAAUAUAAAGAAAAAAAAAUAAAAAAAUAAAAAAAAAUAAAAAAAAAUCAAAGCUUUUUAUCAAUUGCAUCUAUCAAAAAAAUGAAGAGAUAAGCAAUUCCUUACUAUAAAAGAAAGAAUGUUUAGGAUUUAGGAUUUAGGAUUUUUGAAUAGGAUUACAUUGUCACAGCCUUCAAGUCAAUGUAAUAGGGAUAAAAUAAU